GCCGGAGUGGUGAAAUUGGUAGACACGUCGGAUUCAAAAUCCGAUGCCCUAACAGGCGUGCCGGUUCAAGUCCGGCCUCCGGUACCA
RNAcentral lists this transfer RNA (87 nucleotides) under Parahaliea mediterranea. RNAcentral's name for it is "tRNA-Leu". It matches the Rfam family "tRNA". Rfam says of the family: Transfer RNA (tRNA) molecules are approximately 80 nucleotides in length. Their secondary structure includes four short double-helical elements and three loops (D, anti-codon, and T loops). The record is from RNAcentral. Lineage: Bacteria; Pseudomonadati; Pseudomonadota; Gammaproteobacteria; Cellvibrionales; Halieaceae.